AGAUCCCAAUGUGAUAUUUUUUAAUUAAUUAUAAUGUGUGCACAUAUGUGUAUGGCUUUCCAACCAGCUUUCCUGAGAAGUGAUGGAGACAAUAACUCUGUGUUCAGGAAAGACCAUUGUACUUCAAAUUGCCCUAAGGUGUUGGUGAAUUUAGUCCUUUCUUUUUUGAGUCUUUUGCUGAAGUUUAUAAAUUUUGCAGGAGAUUCAAGUAUUCCAGAAGUUUUCCAGAAAGUGCAGAUGACCAUGAAGACAGAAGAGUUUCUGUCCACCUGCUUAUCAACACACACGCAGAUGAUCCAGUAGCUUGGAGAAGGCUGACAGCCAUACAGAGUGAAUUUCCUAACUUCACAGACAUCUUAAAAACAUCUGACAAUGCCAAGAAAAAGAAUAAUUUAAAAAAAUGACAGAAGGAUGCAUUAAACAAUCUUGAUUGAUGAAUAGA
This is a long non-coding RNA of Parus major (Great Tit), 442 nucleotides long. RefSeq lists it as uncharacterized. The transcript is spliced from 2 exons. NCBI's taxonomy places the organism in Eukaryota, Metazoa, Chordata, Aves, Passeriformes, Paridae. The record is from RefSeq and is a predicted model, not a curated record.